UACAGAGGGUGCGAGCGUUGUCCGGAAUCACUGGGCGUAAAGGGCGCGUAGGUGGUGGCUUAAGCGUGCGGUGAAAGCUCGGGGCUCAACUCCGAGUCGGCCGUGCGAACUGGGCUCACUGGAGCAUAGUAGAGGCAGGUGGAAUUCCGGGUGUAGCGGUGGAAUGCGUAGAGAUCCGGAAGAACACCGGUGGCGAAGGCGGUUCUCUGGGCAUUACCUGGACGCUGAGGAGCCGAAAGUGUGGGGAGCGAACAGG
This 256-nucleotide ribosomal RNA is filed under the name uncultured bacterium. RNAcentral describes it as "partial 16S ribosomal RNA". It matches the Rfam family "Bacterial small subunit ribosomal RNA", at positions 524 to 776 of the family's 1533-position model. The record is from RNAcentral.